UUUAGUAGCAAUAUUGAGAUAAGUUAGUGGCGAACGGGUGAGUAACACGUAGCUAACCUACCCUAAAUUCUGGGAUAACGUACCGAAAGGGACGCUAAUACCGGAUAAGACAAGUUGCCGCAUGGCAGCAGGUUAAAAGAUGGCCUCUGUUUACAAGCCGCGAUUAAGGAUGGGGCUGCGGUCCAUUAGGUAGUUGGUGAGGUAACGGCCCACCAAGCCUGCGAUGGAUAGCCGGACUGAGAGGUUGAACGGCCACAAUGGAACUGAGACACGGUCCAUACUCCUACGGGAGGCAGCAGUAGGGAAUAUUCCGCAAUGGGCGAAAGCCUGACGGAGCGACACCGCGUGAAUGACGAAAUCUUUCGGGAUGUAAAGUUCAGUCGGUUGGGGAAGAAGGGCUUCUAUAUUAAUAAUAUAGAGGAAGAGACGGUACCCAAAAUGAAGCCACGGCUAAUUACGUGCCAGCAGCCGCGGUAAUACGUAAGUGGCGAGCGUUAUCCGGAAUCACUGGGUGUAAAGGGUGUGUAGGCGGCGAUAUAAGUUUCAUAUAUAAUGAUAGGGCUCAACCCUGUUUUUGUGUGAAAGACUGUAUUGCUGGAGUGACGAAGAGGAAACUAGAACUCCAGGUGUAGCGGUGAAAUGUGUAGAUAUCUGGGGGAAUACCAAUGGCGAAGGCAGGUUUCUGGUUGUCAACUGACGCUGAGACACGAAAGCGUGGGGAUCAAACGGGAUUAGAUACCCCGGUAGUCCACGCAGUAAACGAUGUUCACUAGGUGUAGGAGGUAUCGACCCCUUCUGUG
RNAcentral lists this ribosomal RNA (800 nucleotides) under uncultured Bacillota bacterium. RNAcentral's name for it is "bacterial SSU rRNA". It matches the Rfam family "Bacterial small subunit ribosomal RNA", at positions 72 to 845 of the family's 1533-position model. The record is from RNAcentral. Lineage: Bacteria; Bacillati; Bacillota.